This 307-nucleotide long non-coding RNA is filed under the name Elaeis guineensis (African oil palm). RNAcentral describes it as "long non-coding RNA (EGUI_LNC012717)". The record is from RNAcentral. Lineage: Eukaryota; Viridiplantae; Streptophyta; Magnoliopsida; Arecales; Arecaceae.
AGUUGGAAUAAUUAUUUUAAUAAUGUGAUCAAAUUAUUUGAUUUCAUCAAAAAUAAAGAGAAAUUAUAUAGUUACAUGAAGGUUAGUGAGACGGUCCCAUACUGACAACAGUUAUGAUAUGAUUGUAUAUAGAAUUUUUUUAUCAAAGAUCUAGAUCAAACGUCCUGUAUUCUAGAAUAAAGGUCUAUAGUGAUAGAUCCUGAAAAAAUAUUUGAUUUUCACAGACAAAAAUAUAGAAAAUAUGCUGAAAGGGUUCAGUAUUGAAACCUCCAAGAGGGAUCUGUUGCCCUCUUAGGCAUAGGUGUAU